RNAcentral lists this unclassified non-coding RNA (6545 nucleotides) under Limulus polyphemus (Atlantic horseshoe crab). RNAcentral's name for it is "sodium channel protein para-like, transcript variant X4". The record is from RNAcentral. Lineage: Eukaryota; Metazoa; Arthropoda; Merostomata; Xiphosura; Limulidae.
UAUCCUUAUACAAAAAUGUAUGACCAAAGAUCCGAUUAAAUACGUAUGACGUAUGUCUAUUUAAUUUAAUUUCUACCAAAUGGACCGGUGGGGACAAGGGUUCCGCUAUAUAAAAAGUUUGAGAAACGAUGUACUGGACGGACGUAAAAAGGAUCUAGGGAUAUUGAACAAAUGAGUGGUGGAAGUGUGGGUAGAUAGGGAUGUAUGAUGUAAUUUAUAGUUAUCAUCAUCAAGUGCAGUGCUGUGUAGCGUAGGAGGUCAUGUCCCUCCACCCUUCCCGGUCCCAGACAUUUGAGAUUACAUCAGUCACCCUCUCUUUGUGUAACCAAAUUGUUAAACUGUCCACUCGCUGUCAAACCUCAACUUUUUUUCCCCACAAAUUUUCCAGUUGUCAUCAAGUGUUCCAUCCCUCAUCACAUGACCAAAGAAUGCUGCUUGUCUUUUUCGCACUUUUGUUACCAAUGUUUUCUUUUUGUUUCUGCUUGUCGUAGAACAUCAUCAUAUAUUUUCCAGUCUUUUUAGGAAACUCUAAGCAUUCUACGCAGGAACCAUAUUUCGGUUACAUUGAGUGAUUUUUCAUUUUGUUUGCUUAUUGUCCAGGAUUCGCAACUGUAAAUCAAGAUUGGUGCGAUGUAGCAGCAAAGAACUCUUUUGCGCACUUUCAUUGAUAUAUUUUUGUUAGUCAAUACAUUUUCCAUCUUCAUAAAAGUUGUCUUAUCCUCUGCAGUUUUGCUCUUGACCUCAUUUUGACAUCCGCCAUCUGAUGUAAUCCAUGUCCCUAAGCAUUUGAACUUGUAGAUUUGAUUUAGAAGGGUCCCAUUUAAUGAUAAAGUGCAAUUUGGAUUGUUUUUUUUCUUUGAUAUAACCAUGGUUUCUGUUUUCUUGGUGUUUUGGCUGAGUCCCAUAUUUCCGCUUUCUUUAUUUACAAUGUCAAGUAAGGACUAAAGAUCUUUUUUCGUUCCUGCUAUUAACACUGUGUCAUCAGCAUAUCUGAUAUUGUUUACAUUGUUGCCUCCAAUACUUAUGCCUGGCAUGUCUUCUAUAUCUCUCAUGAUCAUUUCACUGGACAAAGAGAAGAGAUCAGGGCAUAUCACAGAUCCUUGACGGACUCCUCUUUUUAUCUUCUGAAAUUGGCCGUGCUCAUUCUCAACUCUGAUGACUGUUGCUUGUUCACAAUAUAUAUUUUUGAUGGUAAUUUAUAGUACCUUUUCAAAAAAGUUAAUUAUAAAAAAUACUAUCUGCUUUGAAUAGUAAUAGUAUUAAUGGUACUAUGCAGACUAUAUCCGGUUAUUUUUAAACAGGUUGCUUAAGGAUAAUAUUGUGUAAAACUUGUUUAUCAACGAUACACAUUUUUGGGUAUAUUGUUUAUGAUGAUCGAUGUUAUCUCUUUGCCAUUUAAAGUUAUUCAAGUUGAAAUUAUUAAUAUAUAUAAUCUUAUACUUGCCCUCCCCACACCUAGCUGCCAAUAUUAAGGUGGGCCGCUCCCGAUCGAUGAAACUUGCUCUGUCCGUGUGCCUGCAUCAUGACUGGCAGUGUGAUCCCUCACUCUGCCACAGAUACCUCAAAUAAACUUUCUCAUUGCUGCUUGUGACCAAUUCUGUUCAGCUCAAGUGUCCUUCUCUUACAGGGCUACAAGUUCAGUUGACGUUCUUCAGUAAAAAAGUGCAUGAAAUUAUCGCUCAUCCUAAACGUGACUAGAUCAACUUCUGUUCUGUGGAAACAGUCGAUUCAGGGAUACAACACAGUUAACCUUUCGUGUGUCAAAAGAUGUGCGCAGUUAUUCUAAAAAUAGGCUACUCCUUAAGAGUUCGAAGCUCCUAUAUACCAAGCUAAAAUUCAGAUACGACAAAAGUGAAAAUAGCUCUUUAUUAUUAUGCAGUAAGACCGUAGACGUUAUCGGUUAACUUCAGCGAAACGAGAGUUUAAGAGACUGUUGUUUGGAAUACGUCACUCAUCUUUCUCUCCUUUGAGGUCCAAGAUCAUUCAUGAGAGUGAAGAGCUUACUGUUAACCGGUCCUUUCAGAUACCGUAAUAUGGCGGAUGUCGCUAGUGAAUGACGUCAGCGGGUUGGUGCAGCGCAUGAAUUAAUAACGGUAUAUCUAUUGUUUAUGGCGGGUUGGUGUUGGUUUUGUAAACGUUUACACAAUACUUUUACGGAUCUUACGAUGAUAUGCUGUACGUUUUUUACUGUGAUUCUUUUCCUAUCAAAAGGUCGUGGCUCUGUCUUCCCCCCAUUCUGAGGCUCUCUAGCUCGUGCCGACAUGAGCUCCGCUGGGUCGGAUGAUCAGUCAGAUGAGGAGCUGCCUAUAUUCCGUCCCUUCACCAGGGAGUCCUUGGCGGCCAUUGAAACCCGUAUUGCGGAGGAGAUCGCCAGGAAGAAGGAGAUAGCUCAGAGAGCGGAGGAGGGAGUAACGGGUGCAGCGGCAGGUGGCUUAGUGGACACCGAAAUAUAUAGUUCAGCUCACGCGGAGGAGAUUCUAAAACCUGAUCCUAUGCUUGAAGCUGCUAUGCCCUUGCCAAAGUCACUGCAUUCAGAACUACCCCUACAACUGAUUGCCACUCCUAUCGAAGACAUUGAUCCUUACUACGAAAACAAAAUGACGUUUGUUGUGAUCAGUAAAGGUAAAGAUAUCUUCCGGUUCAGUGCCACAAACGCCCUCUGGAUCCUGAGUCCUUUCAAUCCCAUCCGUCGUAUCGCCAUCUAUGUUCUCGUCCAUCCUUUAUUUAGUUUUUUGGUCAUCGUCACCAUCCUCGUUAACUGUGUUCUCAUGACCCUGCCCUCUAAUGAAAAAAUAGAACAGUCUGAAGUCAUCUUCACCUCAAUCUACACCGUUGAAUCCGUUGUAAAAGUGACUGCUCGCGGUUUUAUACUUGAACGAUUUACAUAUCUUCGAGAUCCCUGGAACUGGUUGGAUUUCAUCGUGAUAACUUUAGCGUAUGUGACAAUGGGGGUGGACUUAGGGAAUCUGAGCGCCCUCAGGACAUUUCGUGUCCUUAGAGCCUUAAAAACAGUAGCAAUUGUUCCAGGUCUAAAGACCAUUGUUGGUGCAGUGAUAGAGUCAGUGAAAAACCUCAAGGAUGUCAUCAUUCUAACAGUCUUCUCAUUAUCUAUUUUUGCCUUAUUGGGUUUACAAAUAUAUAUGGGUGUACUAACUCAAAAGUGUGUUGAAAUUCCACCUGCAAACCUAUCUCAUGCAGAAUAUGUAAAAUUUGUAAAUAAUGAAACUUAUUGGUAUGAAGAAAAUGAAAAUUUUCCACUGUGUGGAAACAGUAGUGGUGCAAAAAUCUGCCCAGAAGGAUACGUAUGUCUUCAAGGUAUAGGGGAUAAUCCCAACUAUGGUUACACAAAUUUUGACAAUUUUGGGUGGGCCCUUUUAUCAGCUUUUAGACUCAUGACACAAGACUGCUGGGAGGCUCUAUACCAAAUGGUGCUAAAAUCUGCAGGUCCUUGGCACAUGCUCUUCUUUGUAUUCAUUAUUUUCCUUGGGUCAUUUUAUUUGGUCAACCUUAUCCUAGCUAUUGUGGCCAUGUCCUAUGAUGAUCUUCAGAAGGCAGAAGAAAAAGAAGCAGCAGCUGAAGAAGCUGCAAUAGCUGCAGAAGAGGCAGCAAGACUAGUAGAGGAAGAAGGAGAGAAUGAAGACAAAGCAGAAGGAACAGUUGUUAAAAGUCCAUCAGAGUUUUCUUGUAGGUCUUAUGAACUUUAUGUGGGACAGGAUAAAACAACUGAAGAAAAAGAUAUGAAAGAAAGAGCUAGUAUUAAAAGUGCUGAUGGUCAUAGUGUUAGUGAACAAAAAUAUCGAUUGAAUGGCAGGACUAGUAGGGCAAGUCUCAGUCUUCCUGGCUCACCAUUUCAUCUGCGUAGGGGAAGCAGAGGAAGCCAGUUCAGUUGGCGCAAUGGUGUUCAUCGUUAUGGAGACAAGAAACCUUUAGUGCUUCAGACAUACAUGGAUGCACAAGAACAUCUCCCUUAUGCAGAUGACAGUAAUGCUGUUACACCCAUGUCUGAGGAAAAUGGUGCCAUGAUUAUUCCUAUGUACCCCAACCUGAACUCUAGACAUUCCAGCUAUACAUCUCACUCAUCACGCUUGUCCUAUACUUCCCAUGGGGAUGUUUUUGCCAAGGGUUUUACAAAGGAGAGUCAGCUCAGAUCUCGCUCAAGAAAUCUCCAAGGCCCUUAUUAUGAGGACACUCCAGCGGAAAGUGAAAACUGCUUCUCCAAAAGUAACCAUCAAGAAAAUCCAUUUGUUGAACCCACUCAGCAACAAACUGUGGUAGAUAUGAAGGAUGUGAUGGUUCUGAAUGACAUCAUAGAACAAGCAGCAGGAAAUCAGAGUAAUGCUAAUGAAAGAGUAUCUAUCUAUUAUUUUCCUACAGAGAAAGAGGAGCAGGAGAAGAUAAAGCUCAAAGACCGGUGCUUGGCACAGUGCUUGAAAUGUGUUGACCUCUUCUGUGUUUGGGACUGUUGCUGGUGUUGGAUCCGCUUUCAAGAGUUUGUCUCACUCCUUGUCUUCGAUCCCUUCAUGGAGCUGUUUAUUACAUUAUGUAUUAUAGUCAACACCCUCUUCAUGGCAAUGGAUCAUAACAAUAUGGAUAAAGAAUUUGAAAACGUCUUAAAAAAGGGAAAUUAUUUCUUCACUGCAACCUUUGCUAUUGAAGCUGGUUUGAAACUUAUAGCUCUUAGUCCAAAAACAUACUUCAGAGAGGGUUGGAACAUCUUUGAUUUCAUCAUUGUUGCUCUGUCCCUGUUAGAAUUGACUCUAGAGAAUAUACAAGGGUUAUCUGUGCUCAGAUCUUUUCGACUGCUUCGAGUUUUCAAACUAGCUAAGUCCUGGCCAACAUUGAACCUGUUGAUAUCAAUCAUGGGAAAGACAGUAGGAGCUUUAGGAAAUUUGACCUUUGUCCUUGGAAUCAUCAUCUUUAUAUUUGCUGUUAUGGGAAUGCAGCUGUUUGGGAAGAAUUAUGAUCUAAAAAAACACCUGUUUCCUAAUCAGGAAGUCCCUCGCUGGAACUUCCGAGACUUCAUGCACUCCUUCAUGAUCGUCUUCAGAGUAUUAUGUGGAGAGUGGAUUGAAUCCAUGUGGGAUUGUAUCCUGGUUUCAGGCUGGCCUUGUAUUCCUUUCUUUUUGGCAACUGUUGUUAUUGGCAACCUUGUGGUUCUCAAUCUCUUCCUGGCUUUGUUGCUUUCCUCUUUUGGAGCCUCAAACCUCUCUCAACCAACUUCAGAGAGUGCAGACACCAAAAAGCUACAGGAAGCUAUUGAUAGAUUUCAUAGAGCAUCAGCAUGGAUAAAGAGCAAAAUGUUAACUGUUCUAAAGCUCUUAAGACCGAAAGUAAAUAAUCAAAUUGCAGACCACACAACAAAUAUUCAAGAAGAGAGAGAAGAAAGUUUUCCUAUAGAAGGGCUGUUGAUUGAUGGCCAAGUUCUCAUGAAGGACAACAAAUAUCCAAGUGAGCAUACAGAAAUGGAUAUUAUAGUUGGAGAUGGUUUGGAUGUCACAGUUCGGGAAGAUGGCCAGGCAGUUAAACUUAGGAUGAAUAGCAAACCUAUGGUGAACUCUGUGCCUGUUGGCUCAAAGAUAGACAUCUUAAAUAACAAAAUAGUGAAGGAAAAUGAAGUUAUGGGAAACAGAUCAUGUACUUUAAGGGAAUCUGAUAUACCAGGUCAGAAACCAAACCACAGUCAAAUGGACUGUAAGUCUGAAGUCUUUAUUGUCAGCACGUCAGAUAUAGAGUUUGGUAACUUGUCUCAAUCUAUGUGUAGUGAUGAAGAAAAGAAGGAAACUAUCAAAGAUGAUGAAGAAGACAAUGAAGAACACUUAGAAGAUGGUGAAAUUCUUGAUUCUGAAGACCUUGAAAAGCUUGAUGCUGAAAAUAUUAUUAUUAGUGAACAUCCCGCUGACUGCUGUCCAGACUGUUGUUAUUCACAUUUCUCCUGUUGCAAUGGUGAUGAUGACUCCUUUUUAUGGCAAUAUUACCAACUAUUACGUUCAAAGAGCUAUUGGGUAGUUGAGAACAAGUACUUUGAAACAGUUGUAAUCACUAUGAUCAUGUUAAGUAGCCUUGCAUUGGCAUUGGAAGAUGUACACCUGAAAACCCAGCCUAUACUCAAAGAAGCUUUGGUCAUUAUUGAUAAAUUCUUUACAGUCAUCUUUCUUUUUGAAAUGUUACUUAAGUGGUUAGCAUUUGGUUUCAAAAAAUACUUUACUAAUGCUUGGUGCUGGCUGGAUUUUGUUAUAGUCUUGGUUUCUGUGAUCAAUCUUAUAGCUACAACAGCAGGGGUGGGAAAAAUCCAAGCCUUCAAGACUAUGCGAACUCUGCGUGCUCUGCGACCUUUGAGAGCUCUUUCACGCUCUCAAGGAAUGAGGAUGGUUUUUAUUUGAUCAGAAGCAUAGUUUUACUUUGAGCAAAGUUUUUGCAUCUGAAAUACUGUACUCAACUUUUCAUGUUAUGGGAUAAGGUGGUUGUAAACGCUCUAAUCCAAGCCAUCCCUGCCAUUUUCAAUGUAUUGCUGGUCUGCUUAAUUUUCUGGCUCAUUUUUUCUAUCA